GCUCCCGUAGCUCAGUUGGUUAGAGCGCGGUGCUUAUAACGCCGAGGCCGAGGGUUCAAGCCCCUCCGGGAGCA
RNAcentral lists this transfer RNA (74 nucleotides) under bacterium. RNAcentral's name for it is "tRNA-Ile". It matches the Rfam family "tRNA". From Rfam's summary of the family: Transfer RNA (tRNA) molecules are approximately 80 nucleotides in length. The record is from RNAcentral.